CAGUCGCCGCGGGAAUACGGAGGGUGCAAGCGUUAAUCGGAAUUACUGGGCGUAAAGCGUGCGUAGGCGGUUCGUUAAGCCUGUUGUGAAAGCCCCGGGCUCAACCUGGGAACGGCAAUGGAUACUGGCGAGCUAGAGUGUGUCAGAGGAUGGUGGAAUUCCCGGUGUAGCGGUGAAAUGCGUAGAUAUGCGGAGGAACACCGAUGGCGAGGGCAGCCCCCUGGGCCAACACUGACGCUCAUGCACGAAAGCGUGGGGAGCAAACAGGAUUAGAUACCCGUGUAGUCCCUGUCUCUUAUAC
This 301-nucleotide ribosomal RNA is filed under the name uncultured bacterium. RNAcentral's name for it is "partial 16S ribosomal RNA". It matches the Rfam family "Bacterial small subunit ribosomal RNA", at positions 509 to 807 of the family's 1533-position model. The record is from RNAcentral.